RNAcentral lists this ribosomal RNA (253 nucleotides) under uncultured bacterium. RNAcentral describes it as "partial 16S ribosomal RNA". It matches the Rfam family "Bacterial small subunit ribosomal RNA", at positions 524 to 776 of the family's 1533-position model. The record is from RNAcentral.
UACGGGGGGGGUAAGCGUUGCUCGGAAUUACUGGGCGUAAAGCGCACGUAGGCGGCUUUCUAAGUCGGGGGUGAAAUCCUGGAGCUCAACUCCAGAACUGCCUUCGAUACUGGAGAGCUCGAGUCCGGGAGAGGUGAGUGGAACUGCGAGUGUAGAGGUGAAAUUCGUAGAUAUUCGCAAGAACACCAGUGGCGAAGGCGGCUCACUGGCCCGGUACUGACGCUGAGGUGCGAAAGCGUGGGGAGCAAACAGG